This is an RNA transcript of Fragaria vesca subsp. vesca, 950 nucleotides long. RefSeq lists it as uncharacterized. The transcript has 2 exons. NCBI's taxonomy places the organism in Eukaryota, Viridiplantae, Streptophyta, Magnoliopsida, Rosales, Rosaceae. The record is from RefSeq and is a predicted model, not a curated record.
ACAGACAGAAUUUGGUGGUGCUGCUGUAAUAUUUUCAUGAUGGGUCCGGAAUAUAAAGGGCUGAGCAUUUGCUUUCUGUGUAAUUUAUGAUCCAUUCUUUCAUAUAUAGUAUCACCAAGCUGGAGGUCUAUCAUUUUAUUUGGUCAAAUCUAUAACAUUGUUGGUCAAGCUUGACAAGAAAACUGUUCAGGACUUCAGGAUGUAAUUCUGGGUUGGCUUUGGUCGUUGAUCCGUGUCACCAAGAAAGAAGGAGAACAGGGUUUGAUUUUUCAAUGGAUUUUGCACCGUUGUAACCAGUGUUAUUCGAGUUUAAAAUGUUUGAGAAAACCUGGGCAGUCAAAUGAAGUAAAGUGCAACGUUCCGAUAGAAUGGCUAUAAUAUCUAUAUGCCAUGGAAGGUGUCAUAGCACUUACCUGCUAACACCCAGCUGAUAAAUGCUUGUGCUUACUCACUACUAUUAGAUCAGAAGAUCAGAAAGCCCUUGAAAAACUCAAUCGAUCUAUUCAAGUUUUCUGACGAUCUUGGUAAAAUCCGGAGUAGAGGGGAGGCCAGUGCUGCUGCUCUAGUGUUACCAUUUGAAGAGUACUGUAUGAUAGUGUAACGGUUGUGAAACAUAAAAAAACCAGAUGCAAAUUCCACUACUACAAUUUGAUAGAGAUCUGGAAAUAUUGGUACCGCAGAUCAUUCAUUAGUUACAAGAGCUUGUGGGGGAACUGGAUGUCAUGGAGGAUCAGGUGAAUGACUUGUCUAGAAUGAAAAAUAUCACAAGUAGUACUGUUAUUACUGCAUAAAUGAAGAUCCCUUUGUGGAUAUUAAGGAGUUUGAGUUAGAUCUUAGGAAAUUGUCACACUGCCUUGCAAAUGCAUCAAAUGUGUGGUACUAGCAUAUAUAGGUCAAAGUUUUUCAGAUUUUAAGCAGAGCAAGUAUUGAAUAUACAGAGUUAGAGAGGG